UGCAGCUCCUGAAGCCUGACACAAACCAAGACAUAGCAACUCAUUGUCAUGCUACUAAGGAUUUGAGGAGAUUAUGUUGAAUUAUUGAGGCUUGCUUUGUCUUAUAAGGGCGGGGCAGGAUAGGAUGGGUAAAGAGAAUCACUACAAAGUAGUGUGGCUAACUCCAGAUUCAAGGAGACAUCUUGGGAGAUCUCUGUAAAAAAAAGAUUAAAGAUGUACCUUGCAAUUUCAGCUCGUCUCUUUGCCUCUUCAGCGAGUUGGUUAAGCUCUGAAGCGCGGCUUCUGUCAGUAAACAUCUUGGUUUCAGGUGGAUGCAGUCCAUGGAGUGUCCUAUGAGCAUGAGCCCAUUUGAGUUCCCUUGCUUCUUUACCAAAGUUCUUUUGACUUGUGAAUGCAAUCUGCAAAGUUAAAUUAAAUUAAAUUUAAGGUUUCAAUUCACUCCUUU
Spinacia oleracea (spinach) is the source of this 445-nucleotide long non-coding RNA. RefSeq lists it as uncharacterized. The transcript is spliced from 2 exons. NCBI's taxonomy places the organism in Eukaryota, Viridiplantae, Streptophyta, Magnoliopsida, Caryophyllales, Amaranthaceae. The record is from RefSeq and is a predicted model, not a curated record.